ACUCCUACGGGAGGCAGCAGUGGGGAAUAUUGCACAAUGGGGGAAACCCUGAUGCAGCCAUGCCGCGUGUGUGAAGAAGGCCCUUCGGGUUGUAAAGCACUUUCAGUAGGGAGGAAGGUAGUGUAGUUAACACCUGCACUAUUUGACGUUACCUACAGAAGAAGCACCGGCUAACUCCGUGCCAGCAGCCGCGGUAAUACGGAGGGUGCGAGCGUUAAUCGGAAUUACUGGGCGUAAAGCGCAUGCAGGCGGCCUGUUAAGUCAGAUAGUGAAAGCCCGGGGGCUUAACCUCGGAAUUGCAUUUGAAACUGGCAGGCUAGAGUCUGUAGAGGGGGGUAGAAUUUCAGGUGUAGCGGUGAAAUGCGUAAGAGGAUCUGAAAGGAAUACCGAGUGGCGAAGGCGGACCCCCUGGACAAAGACUGAACG
RNAcentral lists this ribosomal RNA (426 nucleotides) under uncultured bacterium. RNAcentral describes it as "bacterial SSU rRNA". It matches the Rfam family "Bacterial small subunit ribosomal RNA", at positions 335 to 745 of the family's 1533-position model. The record is from RNAcentral.